Molecule: ribosomal RNA, 403 nt
Filed under: uncultured bacterium
Lineage: Bacteria
Description: bacterial SSU rRNA
Rfam family: Bacterial small subunit ribosomal RNA
Source: RNAcentral
ACUCCUACGGGAGGCAGCAGUGGGGAAUAUUGGACAAUGGGGCAACCCGUGCAUCCAGCAAUGCCGCGUGUGUGAAGAAGGCCUGCGGGUUGUAAAGCACUUUCAGUAGGGAGGAAGGUAGUGUAGUUAACACCUGCAUUAUUUGACGUUACCUACAGAAGAAGCACCGGCUAACUCCGUGCCAGCAGCCGCGGUAAUACGGAGGGUGCGAGCGUUAAUCGGAAUUACUGGGCGUAAAGCGCAUGCAGGCGGCCUGUUAAGUCAGAUGUGAAAGCCCGGGGCUUAACCUCGGAAUUGCAUUUGAAACUGGCAGGCUAGAGUCUUGUAGAGGGGGUGAGAAUUGUCAGGUGUAGCGGUGAAAUGCGUAGAGAUCUGAAGGAAUACCAGUGGCGAAGGCGGCCCC